This is a long non-coding RNA of Scylla paramamosain (green mud crab), 4211 nucleotides long. RefSeq lists it as uncharacterized. The transcript is spliced from 3 exons. NCBI's taxonomy places the organism in Eukaryota, Metazoa, Arthropoda, Malacostraca, Decapoda, Portunidae. The record is from RefSeq and is a predicted model, not a curated record.
AUGAUUGACAAUGUUACUGCCAAUUGGGAGAACCAGAUUAAGGUCUUACAACAAAGGUUUUCCUGUUCAUCCAAACCUGAAAAUUACUUAAUAAAAUAAUUGCAAACUUGAAACUUGUAUACAUAAAUUACAUGCACGUCUUGGGUUAGUCUUAGCUGUCAGUGAUAAUUAGAGUCUUAGUUGUUGGUGAGGACUUACUGUGAACUUGUAUACACAGAUUACAUAUGCACUUGAGGUGAGCGUUGGGUAUUGGUGAUGACUUACCAUGAACUGGCCGGUGAGGACAUCAAGCUCCACUUCACUGCAGGCAACUCCAAACACUGCAUAGCCCUGGGUUUCAUUGGCCCCAUUCCUGGUGAGGCACAAGCCACAUUAGCAGGCAGGUUCUGAUCCUCACAUUUAUCAAGGCAAGUUCUGAUCUAUACACUCUGCACAAGCCACACUAACAAGGCAGGUUUAUCCUUACAUUCUUUUUUUUAUCUAAGCAUGGUAUACUGGCAACAAAAAUCUACAUAAAUAAGGCCCACUGAGGUGCCAGUUCUUAAAGAAAUAAGAUAGAUUCUCACCCUUACAUUCUCAGUAUUUAUAUAACUCUCAAUGAAAUUUUCUCAUAAAAGUUACAAAAGAAAAAAAAUUGAAGUGAUGCAUCUAUUUUGUAAUUUCACAACAGAUUAAGAAGUGAAAAUACUGAGGAUGAACCCUAAUAGAGAGACAAACAAGCAAGCAAACAGAAGAGCCGUACACAUAUCUCUGAGAGAUGUCCACCCCGGCAUUGAAAGCAGAGAGCACCACCUCCUUCCAGGAAGCGUCAAGCAGGCCGGCCACCUGCUUGUAAGUGUCCAGGCGGGCACGCAGGAUCUUGCAGGCCUCCCCCACACACUGACAACACCAGGCAUGGCUCAUGUGUGGCUUCCGCAAAGAAGCCCACUCACCCACCUUCGUAUUGAGUCCCUGGCCCAUCUCUGAUCCACCAUGGGAGAUGGACACAGAGCCGUCCCGAGCAUUGACAGCCACCAGCACACUGAAGGGGUACACGGGCGGCACAGAAUGAGGCCACAGCAUGGGCAUCACUGUCAGGCCACGCUUCUUCCAUAGAUUGUCCUGAGGAGUUGAAAAUUAUUAUUAACUGGAGAAAAGGUCAACACACCAGCUCAUGCUCACCCUCAUCACCACACAAGUCCCCACCCACCUUAUUGAACUGUGCCACCUCUGCCUUGCGUUUCUCCACAUCUGCAGAGGCCAACAGCUGCGUGAUCAUGUUUGAAAUGAGGUUCCUGGGAAUUGUAACCUCAUCAGGCAAGUCCUUCACAUCUGUUAAUUAAAAAAAAAGUUAGAUAUAAUUAAUCCUCUUCAGAUAUAAGUCAUGUCAGAAUCAAGAGGAAAUGUUCAAAAUGAUGUAUUUUAGCAACUAUCCAAUCUAGGAAUAUAUUCUGAAACACUUUGCCACUGUGCAUGUUUCUACUACAUUCAAAAAGCUUUAGUUGAAGUGACAGAAGUUAGUUAAGGAUAUUUUUACGGUUCUAAUGACAGAUCAAGAUUCUAAAUAAUUAACUGGAGAAACACUUGUGAGAACCCAGCAAAUCACCUCUGUAACCUUUGAAAAUAGUCAUGGUGAAGCAACAUGGGAUUUUUUAUGUGUUUUUCAACUCUAGUGACAGAUGAACAAAAUUUAUAGAUUAUUGACAGGAGAAACACUAAUGAGAACUCGGCAAAUCCUCUCUGUGGCCUUUGAAAAUUGUUGUGGUGCAUAAAAGAGCAAAGCAUUUAAGAAGACAGGCAAUAUAACUGAGAGCAAAGAAGUGUUUAGCAGCACAAGAAGUCAUCCACACUCCUUACUGCAGCCUGCCAUGCGGGAACGUAGCUGGAUGAUCUCCUUGCCAAGCCUCCUGCUGCCACCGUCUGGGAGGAGGUUCCUCUGCCGCAGCUCUAGGGGAUCCAGGCCAAGCUCUGCCGCCACGUGGUCCAUGAUGUUCUCCAUGAAGCAGAUGCCCUCCACAGUUCCUGCCAUGCAAAUAUUGCUUAUUUCCUCCAGCCAGCUCAUUUGGUUUCUCUCUCUCUCUGUCAUUUUCAGCAGAAUUUCCCACCUAACGUGUCAUUCUGCAGGCAUAUCAUUUUACAGGGGACUCACCUGGUGUGCGGCACCAGGUGGUGACGGGGGUGUUGGUGAGGAUGAACUGUGGGGUGAGCUCCCAGUUGGAGCAGGCAUAGCAGGACGGCAUUGCAGCCACUGCUGAUGAACUGCUGACAUCAACACCCUUGUAGCCUGAGUCAGCAGUGAGCACAGCCUGCACCGCCUGCAGCUUGCCGGCAUCAUCAAACCCAACCUGAGAGAGUUGGGGAGUGUGAGGGAGGCGGGCACACAUACACACACACAGCCACUCAGUAACUUUUUGACCUUUCUUUGGGGACUGGCACUCUCAGUGGACCUUUUUUUUUUUUCAUACUUUUGCUGUCCUUGGCCAGUGCCCCUCUUACAUAAAAAACUAUAACCUUUCCUCUCAACAACUUAGUCAGUUCAUGAUUCAUCAGUUUAUUCUGAUAUUCCAAAGUAAACACUGCACCACCAAGGCUAAGAAGCACCUGCCUUGUAAGUGCACAGGUAAGGUUCCCGACCGCCCACAAUCCUCAUGUUGUCACUCAGGUCCAGUUGGACCCGCACUGGCCGCCGCAUCUUCUGGGCAGCCACAGCGGCAGCCGUCGAUACAAUAUUGCACUGGUCAAUCUUGCCGCCAAAGCCUCCACCAAGACGCUUGACACUCACAUGCACUCUGCAGGUCAGAACUUCAUGAGUACAUCUUGAACAUGUACAGUGGCUGUCAAUAACUAUGUGCAGUGACUUGCUAUAUUCCCUGAAUGGUGGUGCCCUCCUACCCCCAACUCACUGGUUGUCAGGCACACCCAGCACUUGAGCGAUGGCACGCUGGGUCUCAGACGCCCAUUGGGUGGCGCUGUGCACCUCGAAGCCGUCGUCCGUCGGGUUCACAAUCGUUAUCUUCCGGACAAUGUUGAUGAAACAUUACUUCACCCACAAAGUAUUUCACAGUUGAAGAAUUGUGAAUAAUAAUGCACAAAUAACAUGACACAUUGCAAUGAUAUAUUUCCAUAGAUUUCUUUUUAAAGAAAAUAUACCAUAUAUUAUUAAUACUUCGGAAAUAAUAUAUUUUUGAAAUAUGAAGUAUUUGACAGUUGAGUGAGAUCACCUCCCAGCCUGCCUACCUGAGUCUCCAGUUGGUAAUGGAGCUGCCCACCCCUCCGCAUGGCUCCCUCGAUGACAUGGGUGGAAGCAGCAAAGCCAGCUGUCAGGAGUGCAACAAAAGUAUUAAUAGACAGUACUGGAUUCCACAGACUUAUUUUUAUUUCCUGAGACUAAAAGUAAAAAUAACUUGAAAGGCUGAGGCUGAGCAAGGUCUUGGGAAGCCUAUGAUGAAGUCCCAGGUGGAGGGAGCCUCUCACCUGCCACGUCUCCUAUCACCACAGGAGGAAACUGGCUGGGAGGAAGGGGCUUGGUGAGGGCCUCGUCUAUGGUGAUGACUGGUGCCUGGAUGUCAUCAUAGGUGACCUUCACUGCCUCCAGGCCAGCAUAGGCUGCACUCCUGUUGGUGGCCACUAGCAGGCCGAGGGGCUGGCCAUUGUACUCCACACGCUCUGAUGCAAACACCUGGAAAAGUGUGACAAGUAAAUCUGACAUGUAUGAAAGAGUGUGACUAGUAAAUUUGACACAUGUGGAAAAGUAUCACUUGUAAAUUUGACAUGUAUGGUGGUAAGAAAAAAUGUAACUAGUAAAUCUGACACAUAUGGAAGAGUAUGACUGGUAAAUUUGACAUGUAUGUUGGUUUGGCUAAUCAGGUGGCUAUGAUUCAGAAAGAGAUAAUAAAACUGCUGAUAAAAGAUGAAAUAGAAGAACAUUGACAGUCUGGCAGCAAGAUUAAGUGGGUAGCACACAGCAGGCAUCUGUCUCCCUCACUUACUGGUUGGGAGCUGCCGGGGACCCAGUCUGCAGCAAAGGCCAGCAUGUUAUUCUGGCCACGAAUGUCCUCAGCUCCCACAAAGCCCACAACUCCUGGGAUGGCCUGGAAAAUAAACAGGGAAGUCCACAAGUUAUUAGGAGCCACAACCCACUAUCUCUCUCUCUCUCUCUCUCUCUCUCUCUCUCUCUCUCUCUCUCUCUCUCUCUCUCUCUCUCUCUCUCUCUCUCUUCUCUCUUCUCUCUC